AACGAACGCUGGCGGCAUGCCUAACACAUGCAAGUCGAACGAGACCUUCGUGUCUAGUGGCGCACGGGUGCGUAACGCGUGGGAACCUGCCCUUAGGUUCGGAAUAACUCCCCGAAAGGGGUGCUAAUACCGGAUAAUGUCUUCGGACCAAAGAUUUAUCGCCUUUGGAUGGGCCCGCGUUGGAUUAGCUAGUUGGUAGGGUAAAAGCCUACCAAGGCGACGAUCCAUAGCUGGUCUGAGAGGAUGAUCAGCCACACUGGGACUGAGACACGGCCCAGACUCCUACGGGAGGCAGCAGUGGGGAAUAUUGGACAAUGGGCGAAAGCCUGAUCCAGCAAUGCCGCGUGAGUGAUGAAGGCCUUAGGGUUGUAAAGCUCUUUUACCCGGGAUGAUAAUGACAGUACCGGGAGAAUAAGCUCCGGCUAACUCCGUG
RNAcentral lists this ribosomal RNA (433 nucleotides) under uncultured bacterium. RNAcentral describes it as "partial 16S ribosomal RNA". It matches the Rfam family "Bacterial small subunit ribosomal RNA", at positions 29 to 507 of the family's 1533-position model. The record is from RNAcentral.